GUCGAGCGGUAAGGCCCUUCGGGGUACACGAGCGGCGAACGGGUGAGUAACACGUGGGUGAUCUGCCCUGCACUUCGGGAUAAGCCUGGGAAACUGGGUCUAAUACCGGAUAUGACCUUCGGCUGCAUGGCUGAGGGUGGAAAGGUUUACUGGUGCAGGAUGGGCCCGCGGCCUAUCAGCUUGUUGGUGGGGUAAUGGCCUACCAAGGCGACGACGGGUAGCCGACCUGAGAGGGUGACCGGCCACACUGGGACUGAGACACGGCCCAGACUCCUACGGGAGGCAGCAGUGGGGAAUAUUGCACAAUGGGCGAAAGCCUGAUGCAGCGACGCCGCGUGAGGGAUGACGGCCUUCGGGUUGUAAACCUCUUUCAGCAGGGACGAAGCGAAAGUGACGGUACCUGCAGAAGAAGCACCGGCCAACUACGUGCCAGCAGCCGCGGUAAUACGUAGGGUGCAAGCGUUGUCCGGAAUUACUGGGCGUAAAGAGCUCGUAGGCGGUUUGUCGCGUCGUCUGUGAAAACUCGAGGCUCAACCUCGAGCUUGCAGGCGAUACGGGCAGACUUGAGUACUGCAGGGGAGACUGGAAUUCCUGGUGUAGCGGUGAAAUGCGCAGAUAUCAGAGGAACACCGGUGGCGAAGGCGGGUCUCUGGGCAGUAACUGACGCUGAGGAGCGAAAGCGU
RNAcentral lists this ribosomal RNA (683 nucleotides) under Rhodococcus wratislaviensis. RNAcentral's name for it is "bacterial SSU rRNA". It matches the Rfam family "Bacterial small subunit ribosomal RNA", at positions 61 to 762 of the family's 1533-position model. Lineage: Bacteria; Bacillati; Actinomycetota; Actinomycetes; Mycobacteriales; Nocardiaceae. The record is from RNAcentral.